UGAGGAAUAUUGGACAAUGGGCGAAAGCCUGACGCAGCCACGCCGCGUGAGCGAUGAAGGCCUUCGGGUCGUAAAGCUCUGUGGGGAGAGAAGAAGAAAGCCCGUGAAGAGCGAGCCUUGACGGUAUCUCCUUAGCAAGCACCGGCUAACUCCGUGCCAGCAGCCGCGGUAAUACGGAGGGUGCAAACGUUUCUCGGAAUCAUUGGGCGUAAAGCGCACGUAGGCGGCGAAGCAAGUCGGGUGUGAAAGCCCUGGGCUCAACCCAGGAAGUGCAUUCGAAACUAUUUCGCUUGAAGCUCGGAGGGGGUCAGAGAAUUCCAGGUGUAGGGGUGAAAGUCGUAGAAAUGGGGAGGAAUACCAGGGGCGAAGGCGCUGACCGGGACGAAGAUUGACGCUGAGGUGCGAAAGCGCGGGGAGCAAACA
Molecule: ribosomal RNA, 423 nt
Filed under: uncultured bacterium
Lineage: Bacteria
Description: bacterial SSU rRNA
Rfam family: Bacterial small subunit ribosomal RNA
Source: RNAcentral